ACCGGGGUGGCUCAGUGGUUGAGCAUCUGACUUUCGCCCAGGUCAUGAGCCCAUGCUUUGUGGGUUCGAGCCCCACGUCAGGUU
This 84-nucleotide transfer RNA is filed under the name Felis catus (domestic cat). It matches the Rfam family "tRNA". Rfam says of the family: Transfer RNA (tRNA) molecules are approximately 80 nucleotides in length. Their secondary structure includes four short double-helical elements and three loops (D, anti-codon, and T loops). The record is from Rfam by way of RNAcentral. Lineage: Eukaryota; Metazoa; Chordata; Mammalia; Carnivora; Felidae.